CUUCCUACGGGGCGCAGCAGUGAGGAAUAUUGGUCAAUGGGCGAGAGCCUGAACCAGCCAAGUCGCGUGAGGGAAGACGGUCCUAUGGAUUGUAAACCUCUUUUGCCGGGGAGCAAAAAGCGGUACGUGUACCGCAUCGAGAGUACCCGGAGAAAAAGCAUCGGCUAACUCCGUGCCAGCAGCCGCGGUAAUACGGAGGAUGCGAGCGUUAUCCGGAUUUAUUGGGUUUAAAGGGCGCGUAGGCGGGAAUGCAAGUCAGAAGUGAAAACUAUGGGCUUAACCCAUAGCCUGCUUUUGAAACUGUU
This 305-nucleotide ribosomal RNA is filed under the name uncultured bacterium. Its description in RNAcentral is "bacterial SSU rRNA". It matches the Rfam family "Bacterial small subunit ribosomal RNA", at positions 335 to 637 of the family's 1533-position model. The record is from RNAcentral.